CCUACGGGUGGCUGCAGUGGGGAAUAUUGGACAAUGGGCGAAAGCCUGAUCCAGCCAUGCCGCGUGUGUGAAGAAGGCCUUCGGGUUGUAAAGCACUUUCAGUGGGGAAGAAAGCCUUGGGGCUAAUACCCUCGAGGAAGGACAUCACCCACAGAAGAAGCACCGGCUAACUCCGUGCCAGCAGCCGCGGUAAUACGGAGGGUGCGAGCGUUAAUCGGAAUUACUGGGCGUAAAGCGCGCGUAGGCGGUCUGAUAAGCCGGUUGUGAAAGCCCCGGGCUCAACCUGGGAACGGCAUCCGGAACUGUCAGGCUAGAGUGCAGGAGAGGAAGGUAGAAUUCCCGGUGUAGCGGUGAAAUGCGUAGACAUCGGGAGGAAAACCAGUGGCGAAGGCGGCCUUCUGGACUGACACUGACGCUGAGGUGCGAAAGCGUGGGUAGCAAACAGGAUUAGAUACCCGGGUAGUC
Molecule: ribosomal RNA, 465 nt
Filed under: Vreelandella stevensii
Lineage: Bacteria; Pseudomonadati; Pseudomonadota; Gammaproteobacteria; Oceanospirillales; Halomonadaceae
Description: partial 16S ribosomal RNA
Rfam family: Bacterial small subunit ribosomal RNA
Source: RNAcentral